UACGGGGGGGGCAAGCGUUGUUCGGAAUUACUGGGCGUAAAGGGCUCGUAGGCGGCCAACUAAGUCAUACGUGAAAUCCCUCGGCUUAACCGGGGAACUGCGUCUGAUACUGGAUGGCUUGAGUUCGGGAGAGGGAUGCGGAAUUCCAGGUGUAGCGGUGAAAUGCGUAGAUAUCUGGAGGUACACCGGUGGCGAAGGCGGCAUCCUGGACCGAUACUGACGCUGAGGAGCGAAAGCCAGGGGAGCAAACGGG
This 253-nucleotide ribosomal RNA is filed under the name uncultured bacterium. RNAcentral describes it as "partial 16S ribosomal RNA". It matches the Rfam family "Bacterial small subunit ribosomal RNA", at positions 524 to 776 of the family's 1533-position model. The record is from RNAcentral.